AGGCAGCAGUGGGGAAUAUUGGACAAUGGGCGCAAGCCUGAUCCAGCCAUACCGCGUGGGUGAAGAAGGCCUUCGGGUUGUAAAGCCCUUUUGUUGGGAAAGAAAUCCAGCCGGCUAAUACCUGGUUGGGAUGACGGUACCCAAAGAAUAAGCACCGGCUAACUUCGUGCCAGCAGCCGCGGUAAUACGAAGGGUGCAAGCGUUACUCGGAAUUACUGGGCGUAAAGCGUGCGUAGGUGGUCGUUUAAGUCCGUUGUGAAAGCCCUGGGCUCAACCUGGGAACUGCAGUGGAUACUGGACGACUAGAGUGUGGUAGAGGGUAGCGGAAUUCCUGGUGUAGCAGUGAAAUGCGUAGAGAUCAGGAGGAACAUCCUUGGCGAAGGCAGCUACCUGGACCAACACUGACACUGAGGCACGAAAGCGUGGGGAGCAAACAGGAUUAGAUACCCUGGUAGUCCACGCCCUAAACGAUGCGAACUGGAUGUUGGGUGCAAUUUGGCACGCAGUAUCGAAGCUAACGCGUUAAGUUCGCCGCCUGGGGAGUACGGUCGCAAGACUGAAACUCAAAUGAAUUGACGG
This 579-nucleotide ribosomal RNA is filed under the name uncultured Gammaproteobacteria bacterium. RNAcentral describes it as "bacterial SSU rRNA". It matches the Rfam family "Bacterial small subunit ribosomal RNA", at positions 346 to 916 of the family's 1533-position model. Lineage: Bacteria; Pseudomonadati; Pseudomonadota; Gammaproteobacteria. The record is from RNAcentral.